UACAGAGGGUGCAAGCAUUAAUCGGAUUUAUUGGGCGUAAAGAGCUCGUAGGCGGCCAGUUGCGUCUGCUGUGAAAUCCCGGGGCUCAACCCCGGGCGUGCAGUGGAUACGGGCUGGCUAGAGGCAGGCAGGGGAGAACGGAAUUCCCGGUGUAGCGGUGAAAUGCGCAGAUAUCGGGAGGAACACCGGUGGCGAAGGCGGUUCUCUGGGCCUGUACUGACGCUGAGGAGCGAAAGCGUGGGGAGCGAACAGG
RNAcentral lists this ribosomal RNA (253 nucleotides) under uncultured bacterium. RNAcentral's name for it is "partial 16S ribosomal RNA". It matches the Rfam family "Bacterial small subunit ribosomal RNA", at positions 524 to 776 of the family's 1533-position model. The record is from RNAcentral.